RNAcentral lists this ribosomal RNA (468 nucleotides) under uncultured bacterium. Its description in RNAcentral is "partial 16S ribosomal RNA". It matches the Rfam family "Bacterial small subunit ribosomal RNA", at positions 28 to 507 of the family's 1533-position model. The record is from RNAcentral.
GACGAACGCUGGCGGCGUGCUUAACACAUGCAAGUCGAACGGAAAGGCCCUGCUUUUGUGGGGUGCUCGAGUGGCGAACGGGUGAGUAACACGUGAGUAACCUGCCCUUGACUUUGGGAUAACUUCAGGAAACUGGGGCUAAUACCGGAUAGGAGCUCCUGCUGCAUGGUGGGGGUUGGAAAGUUUCGGCGGUUGGGGAUGGACUCGCGGCUUAUCAGCUUGUUGGUGGGGUAGUGGCUUACCAAGGCUUUGACGGGUAGCCGGCCUGAGAGGGUGACCGGGCAACUUGGGACUGAGGUACGGCCCAGACUCCUACGGGGGGCAGCAGGGGGGAAUAUUGCACAAUGGGCGGGAGCCUGAUGCAGCAACGCCGCGUGCGGGAUGGCGGCCUUCGGGUUGUAAACCGCUUUCGCCUGUGACGAAGCGUGAGUGACGGUAAUGGGUAAAGAAGCACCGGCUAACUACGUG